RNAcentral lists this ribosomal RNA (497 nucleotides) under uncultured bacterium. RNAcentral describes it as "partial 16S ribosomal RNA". It matches the Rfam family "Bacterial small subunit ribosomal RNA", at positions 28 to 507 of the family's 1533-position model. The record is from RNAcentral.
GAUGAACGCUGGCGGCGUGCCUAAUACAUGCAAGUCGAGCGAACAGAUAAGGAGCUUGCUCCUUUGACGUUAGCGGCGGGCGGGUGAGUAACACGUGGAUAACCUACCUAUAAGACUGGGAUAACUUCGGGAAACCGGAGCUAAUACCGGAUAACAUAUUGAACCGCAUGGUUCAAUAGUGAAAGGCGGCUUUGCUGUUACUUAUAGAUGGAUCCGCGCCGUAUUAGCUAGUUGGUAAGGUAACGGCUUACCAAGGCAACGAUACGUAGCCGACCUGAGAGGGUGAUCGGCCACACUGGAACUGAGACACGGUCCAGACUCCUACGGGAGGCAGCAGUAGGGAAUCUUCCGCAAUGGGCGAAAGCCUGACGGAGCAACGCCGCGUGAGUGAUGAAGGUCUUCGGAUCGUAAAACUCUGUUAUCAGGGAAGAACAAAUGUGUAAGUAACUGUGCACAUCUUGACGGUACCUGAUCAGAAAGCCACGGCUAACUACGUG